This 1314-nucleotide long non-coding RNA is filed under the name Gallus gallus (chicken). The record is from RNAcentral. Lineage: Eukaryota; Metazoa; Chordata; Aves; Galliformes; Phasianidae.
UGCCUGAAAGUUGCUUUAUUUGUUCAUAAGGUCUGUGCGUUACAGCAAGCUUAUGUUUAGCUACCGUGGACAAAAGCUCAGUCUGGAAGAGCAUUAAAUGUUAACCACAGAGAUGUACAGUGAGUAGAGAGCCCACAUUUGUGCACAACACGCUGUUUUUCUAUUGCUGCAAUCUAACAUUUGAAUUACAGAUCUUUAAGAUCUUUCUGGAUGCUCCACAAUGUGUCUGCACUCUUCUUCAGCUGAGCCACUUCAUCAUCCUUCAGCUUUUGGUUGAUGACACUUGUCAAUCCAGAGGCACUCAGGACACAAGGCAGGCUCAGGAAGACAUCGUUCUCAAUGCCAUAUGUGCCCUUUACCAGUGUUGACACAGAAUGAACUCGGUACAAGUUCUUCAGCAUUGUCUCACAGAGCUCAGCAACGCUAAGACCAAUGGCCCAGUUCGUAUACCCCUUGAGUCUGAUUACCUCAUAGGCACUUUCAACAACCUGCUUGUGGACUUCCUUCCAGUUCUCGCUGUCUUUGUCAGUUCCCAUGGCAGGAUUCAGCUCCUGGAGAGAAACACCUGCCACAUUAACUCCGCUCCAAACAGCCACACUAGAAUCACCAUGUUCUCCUAAAAUCCAGCCAUGGCAGCUGGUUGGGUGGAUACCAAGUCUCUCAGCCAUCAGGUAGCGGAAUCUAGCUGUGUCUAGAUUGCAGCCACUUCCAAUCACACGGUGCUUUGGCAGGCCACUCAGCUUCCAUGUGACAUAGGUUAAUAUAUCCACUGGGUUGGAAACCACAAGGAUAGUGCAAUUGGGGCUGUAUUUCACAAUCUGAGGAAUGAUGAAUUUGAAGACGUUCACAUUCCUCUGAACCAGGUUGAGACGACUCUCCCCCUCUUGCUGACGAACACCUGCAGUUACUACCACAAUCUUGGAGUUGGCUGUGACAGCAUAAUCUUUGUCUGCCACAAUCUUAUGAGUCUGAAGGAACAAGCUGCCAUGCUGUAGAUCCAUCAUUUCUCCUUUUAGCUUGUCUUCCAAAACAUCAACCAGAGCAAGCUCAUCACAAAGACCCUUGCCGAGGAUGCUGAUGGCACAAGCCAUCCCACCUGCCCCACACCAACCACGGUGAUCUUGUUGCUGGGAACCGUGCUGCCCGCGGCCACGGGGGUGAUCAGCUUCUCCUUCAGGGUCGCCAUAACGUCCGGAUCGGUGCGGUGAAAGGAGAACCGGGAACAGUGCCGUGACCGUGGCGGGGCUCGGGAAAUCUGCGCUCCGCAGCGGAAGGGGCGGGCUGGGAUGCGUGGAGGAGCCCCUCACCGCGCCC